GCAGAGUAGAGACCUGUGGGUUAAGUGUCCGGAGAACGGGGAGUUGUCUCCGGAACGAAAAAAGACGUCUUUUGCCGUACCGGUCUCGCAUCCCGCUGC
RNAcentral lists this non-coding RNA (99 nucleotides) under human gut metagenome. Its description in RNAcentral is "THF riboswitch". It matches the Rfam family "THF (Tetrahydrofolate) riboswitch aptamer". From Rfam's summary of the family: THF riboswitch presents a pseudoknot that joins P1-P2 and the loop of P3 and two THF binding. The record is from RNAcentral.